This is a long non-coding RNA of Cyprinus carpio carpio, 1265 nucleotides long. NCBI's taxonomy places the organism in Eukaryota, Metazoa, Chordata, Actinopteri, Cypriniformes, Cyprinidae. The record is from Ensembl.
CUCUGACCACUGAUUUACACUGCAAGUGUUAAUGCCAUUCAAAUCAACACCACGAUCAACACUUUUUAACACUGAUAAAUUAACACCAUAAAAACAACACUAAACAACACUGGAUAUUUUGCUGUGAUUACUAAGUAAAAAAAAUUAAUAUCGCUCCCUGGAAACUACGUCAGUAAAUAAUGGGCAGGAGGACAAACUGGCGCUAAAAUCUCAAGAAAGAUGCAGACGGACAAAACAUGCGUUAGUGGUGCAGACACCGCUGAAAACGAAACCCCGUCAUAUUGAACUCGAAGGAAAUGAAGUGAACCCCUGGCCAUAUUUAUGCUCUAUUAUGCAGUGUAAGCUGUGCUUGCCUAGGGAGACCAAACUAGCAGCUUAUAAAAUCUCGACAAGACAUCAACCCUUUGCAAGCAUGUAGAGUGUGACUCCCACAGUUCAGAGCACUUCACUGCUUUUCUGCUGCACAUUUCUCUGUUUGACAAUAAUGGGCAACUAUGACAUGUCUGAUCAUAUUUAUGACAACACCAACUGGAUGAAAAAGGAUUCAUUUGGAAUUAGGAAAUCUGCCAAAAAGAAGCAAUGUAGACCUAUCUGUGCCAAGGUUCUUGCUGUUCUCCUCAUCCUGUCUCUGCUGGUUAAUGGAGUGCUGGCAUACUUGUAUGUCAAUAAUUAUAAAAAUGUGCUGUUGCAGUGCGAGCCAGGAACAAACUGCUCAAAUUCAGACCAUCAUCAAGGAAUUCCGGGCUGCACAUAUGAUGAGGACUGGAGGUCAAUAACCUACUGCCCAGAUUUGCCAGAGCAGUGGUAUAAGGGCAACGGCAGAUUUUACAUUUUCUCCAGUCACAACAAGACCUGGAACUCCAGCAGAGAGUAUUGUCAGGAUCUGGGUGGAGAUCUGGUCAUUAUCGACAACACAGAGGAGAAGGAAUUUCUUGCUCAGAGACUAUGUGUUGCUGGUGAAUCUGAUCUCUACUGGGCUGGGAACAAGGAUGGGAACUGGUCAGAUCUGAAUCCCAAAUACAACUGUGCUGUUCUUAAAGGAAAUACACAAGAAAACAUUUAUUGCUUAAGAGAAGAGAAGAGCAUUUGUGAGAUCCCAUGCCUUCAGUAAACCUACAAUAAAUGACUUAUUUUUUUACAGUUGACUUUCUGUUUUAUUUCACAGUGCACUCAUUUAAAUAUAAGAGCUUGCUACAUUUGAUGUUUUUUCUUGUUUACUUGUUUUCACAUUUCCAUACUAUGCCAUGUUUGAUAUGGGAAUCUAC